RNAcentral lists this ribosomal RNA (505 nucleotides) under uncultured bacterium. Its description in RNAcentral is "bacterial SSU rRNA". It matches the Rfam family "Bacterial small subunit ribosomal RNA", at positions 28 to 524 of the family's 1533-position model. The record is from RNAcentral.
GACGAACGCUGGCGGCGUGGAUUAGGCAUGCAAGUCGAACGGUAUCAUCCUUUCGGGGGUGAGAGAGUGGCGAACUGGUGAGUAACACGUAGGUUAUCUACCCUCAAGACGGGGACAACCCAGGGAAACUUGGGCUAAUACCGGAUGUGAGCAACUUUUAGUUGUUUGAAAGGUGGCGUAAGCUGUCGCUUGGGGAUGAGCCUGCGUCCUAUUAGUUAGUUGGUGAGGUAACGGCUCACCUAGGCAAUGAUAGGUAGGCGGCCUUAACGGGUGGUCGCCCACACUGGGAUUGAGAUACGGCCCAGACUCCUACGGGAGGCAGCAGUCGAGAAUAGUCUACAAUGGUCGGAAGACUGAUAGUGCGACGCCGCGUGAACGAUGAAUCCCUUCGGGGUGUAAAGUUCUUUUAUAUGUGAGCAGUGCUUCUUAUAUUAACAGUAUGGGGAGAGAGAUAUUAGCAUAUGAAUAAGCAACGGCUAACUCCGUGCCAGCAGCCGACGGUAAU